Molecule: unclassified non-coding RNA, 463 nt
Filed under: Hevea brasiliensis (rubber tree)
Lineage: Eukaryota; Viridiplantae; Streptophyta; Magnoliopsida; Malpighiales; Euphorbiaceae
Source: RNAcentral
GUGAUAAUUUCAUAAUCAAAUGAAGUCCCUCUCUUGCAUCACGCAGCCGUUGUUCAUUUCCAGAAUGCAUAGGGCUGAUUAUGUUUCUUAGUUCAAAAGUAAUUAUCCCAUUGAAUCUGAGCACUUGGAAAGUGAUCUCGUUUCUUAGAACCAGGACGCACAAGUGGUGGUUGGAAUUUUUAACUAUAUGAUAGAGGAGAUUUUACAAGGUAAUGGAAGUUAGAAGAACCCAUAAUUUUUUUUAUAUAAGAUUUUUAAAAGUUUAUGAAAAUCUCCCAAAUUGGGAGAAAGGUUUUUUAAACUAAACGGAAAUUUUUCAAGGUAUAAAAUUUCACAGCAAAGAUGUCAACGAGUAACCAGCACCUCACCCAAAAAAAAAAAUUCUAGUAACAAUAAAACAAUGAAAUUUUCGAAACAAACCUGCAGCAACCUCGGAUCGAACUUUGGCAAUCCAAUUUGUUCA